RNAcentral lists this ribosomal RNA (253 nucleotides) under uncultured bacterium. Its description in RNAcentral is "partial 16S ribosomal RNA". It matches the Rfam family "Bacterial small subunit ribosomal RNA", at positions 524 to 776 of the family's 1533-position model. The record is from RNAcentral.
AACGUAGGAGACGAACGUUAUCCGGAGUUACUGGGCGUAAAGCGCACGUAGGCGGAUAUUUAAGUCAGGGGUGAAAUCCCAGAGCUCAACUCUGGAACUGCCUUUGAUACUGGGUAUCUUGAGUAUGGAAGAGGUAAGUGGAAUUGCGAGUGUAGAGGUGAAAUUCGUAGAUAUUCGCAGGAACACCAGUGGCGAAGGCGGCUUACUGGUCCAUUACUGACGCUGAGGUGCGAAAGCGUGGGGAGCAAACAGG